GGCUCAGGAUGAACGCUAGCGACAGGCUUAACACAUGCAAGUCGAGGGGCAGCGGGGGUAGCGAUACCCGCCGGCGACCGGCGCACGGGUGAGUAACGCGUAUGCAACUUGCCUAUCAGAGGGGGAUAACCCGGCGAAAGUCGGACUAAUACCGCAUGAAGCAGGGGCCCCGCAUGGGGAUAUUUGCUAAAGAUUCAUCGCUGAUAGAUAGGCAUGCGUUCCAUUAGGCAGUUGGCGGGGUAACGGCCCACCAAACCGACGAUGGAUAGGGGUUCUGAGAGGAAGGUCCCCCACAUUGGUACUGAGACACGGACCAAACUCCUACGGGAGGCAGCAGUGAGGAAUAUUGGUCAAUGGCCGAGAGGCUGAACCAGCCAAGUCGCGUGAGGGAUGAAGGUUCUAUGGAUCGUAAACCUCUUUUAUAAGGGAAUAAAGUGCGGGACGUGUCCCGUUUUGUAUGUACCUUAUGAAUAAGGAUCGGCUAACUCCGUGCCAGCAGCCGCGGUAAUACGGAGGAUCCGAGCGUUAUCCGGAUUUAUUGGGUUUAAAGGGUGCGUAGGCGGCCUUUUAAGUCAGCGGUGAAAGUCUGUGGCUCAACCAUAGAAUUGCCGUUGAAACUGGGGGGCUUGAGUAUGUUUGAGGCAGGCGGAAUGCGUGGUGUAGCGGUGAAAUGCAUAGAUAUCACGCAGAACCCCCGAUUGCGAAGGCAGCCUGCCAAGCCAUUACUGACGCUGAUGCACGAAAGCGUGGGGAUCAAACAGGAUUAGAUACCCUGGUAGUCCACGCAGUAAACGAUGAUCACUAGCUGUUUGCGAUACACUGUAAGCGGCACAGCGAAAGCGUUAAGUGAUCCACCUGGGGAGUACGCCGGCAACGGUGAAACUCAAAGGAAUUGACGGGGGCCCGCACAAGCGGAGGAACAUGUGGUUUAAUUCGAUGAUACGCGAGGAACCUUACCCGGGUUUGAACGCAUUCGGACCGAGGUGGAAACACCUUUUCUAGCAAUAGCCGUUUGCGAGGUGCUGCAUGGUUGUCGUCAGCUCGUGCCGUGAGGUGUCGGCUUAAGUGCCAUAACGAGCGCAACCCUUGCCACUAGUUACUAACAGGUAAAGCUGAGGACUCUGGUGGGACUGCCAGCGUAAGCUGCGAGGAAGGCGGGGAUGACGUCAAAUCAGCACGGCCCUUACAUCCGGGGCGACACACGUGUUACAAUGGCGUGGACAAAGGGAAGCCACCUGGCGACAGGGAGCGAAUCCCCAAACCACGUCUCAGUUCGGAUCGGAGUCUGCAACCCGACUCCGUGAAGCUGGAUUCGCUAGUAAUCGCGCAUCAGCCAUGGCGCGGUGAAUACGUUCCCGGGCCUUGUACACACCGCCCGUCAAGCCAUGGGAGCCGGGGGUACCUGAAGUCCGUAACCGCGAGGAUCGGCCUAGGGUAAA
This 1439-nucleotide ribosomal RNA is filed under the name uncultured organism. RNAcentral's name for it is "SSU rRNA". It matches the Rfam family "Bacterial small subunit ribosomal RNA". The record is from RNAcentral.